AAUUUUUAAUGUUAUUUUUAUUUAUAUUAUUGUUAUUUUUAUUUUUAUUUAAAGUAAUAUUAAAAAUAUAAUUAUUAAUAUUGUUAGAGUAAUCUAUUAAGAAAAAAUAUUUUUAUUGUUAAAUGUGAAUUAAUUAUGAAAUAAUUUAAAAAUUAAAAAUUUUAUAAGUAAGAUUAAUUUUUUGUACCUUUUGUAUCAGGGUUUAUUAAAUAAAUAUUAAUGAUUUAAUUUUCUCGAAUUAUUUAGAGUUAAAUUAAUAUUUAAGUUAAUGUGAAAUUAUUAUUUAAAAUAUUAAUUUAGUGGAGAAAUUCUAGUCAAUAAAUAAGAUAUCUAGUUUUUUUAGAAAUAAAUUUAAUUUAUUUAUUAAAAUUUAAUUUAAUAUAUUUUGUAUUUAUAUUUAUUUUAUUUUAAUAGAAAAAAUUUAAGGGAUUAGCUUUAGAUUUUAAUUUAAAAAUAGAGUUUACUUAUGGUUAUAAAUAAAAUUAUAGAUUUAAAAGUAGUUAUUAAUUUAAUUGUAUAAUAACUUAUUUGUUUUUAAAAUUUAAUUUUUUAUUAUUUUAAAAUUGUAUAAAAAUAUUUAAAUUAAUUAUUUAUUUAAAUAAAUAAUGAUAAAAUUAUUAUAUUAAUUUGUAUUUAAUUAUUUUAUAUAAUAUAUUUAUUUAAAUAAAUAAUUUUAUAUUUAAUUAUAAGGAACUAGACAAAAUUUUAUAUUUACCUGUUUAACAAAAACAUGUCUUUUUGAUAAUUUAAUUUAAAGUCUAAUCUGCCCACUGAAAUUUAUUUUAAAUGGCCGCGGUAUUUUGACCGUGCAAAGGUAGCAUAAUCAUUAGUUUUUUAAUUGAAAGCUUGUAUGAAUGAUUGGAUAAGAUAUAGAUUGUCUCAUAAUUAUUUAUGUUAAAAUUUAAUUUUUGAAUAAAAAAGUUUAAAUUUUAUUAAAGGACGAGAAGACCCUGUAGAUUUUUAUAAUAUAUUUAUUUAUUUUUAAUUAAAUAUUUUUUUUAAAUUAAGUUUUUUAUUAUUUUGUUGGGGUGACAUUAAAAUUAAAUUAACUUUUAAAUAUUUUUUAUUCAUUGAUUUUUGUUAAUAGUAGAUUAAAGUUUUAUUUUUUGAUCCUAAUUUUUAGAUUAAUAAAUUAAAAUACCUCAGGGAUAACAGCGUAAUUUGUUUGGAGAGAUCAUAUUAAUAAAUAAGUUUGCGACCUCGAUGUUGAAUUAAGAUUAUUUUUAGGUGUAGGAGCUUAAAUGUUAGGUCUGUUCGACCUUUGAAAUCUUACAUGAUUUGAGUUCAGAUCGGCGUAAGCCAGAUCGGAUUCUAUCCUUAAUUUUUUUGAUUAUUUUUGUACGAAAGGACCAAAUAGUUUAAAUAAUUUGAUUUAUUUAUUGAUUAAAAUUAAUAGUAUGUUUAAAAUAAUACAUUAAA
Molecule: ribosomal RNA, 1419 nt
Filed under: Syrista sp. 1 GYN-2021c
Lineage: Eukaryota; Metazoa; Arthropoda; Insecta; Hymenoptera; Cephidae
Description: 16S ribosomal RNA
Source: RNAcentral